This 381-nucleotide ribosomal RNA is filed under the name uncultured archaeon. Its description in RNAcentral is "bacterial SSU rRNA". It matches the Rfam family "Archaeal small subunit ribosomal RNA", at positions 471 to 851 of the family's 1478-position model. The record is from RNAcentral.
UAACACCAGCAGCCCAAGUGGUGGUCGCGUUUAUUGGGCCUAAAGCGCUUGUAGCCGGGCCGGUAAGUCCCUUGUGAAAUCGGACGGCCCAACCGUUCGGCUUGCAAGGGAUACUGUCGGUCUUGGGGUCGGAAGAGGUCGGAGGUACUUCGGGGGUAGCGGUGAAAUGCUGUAAUCCCCGGGGGACCACCAGUGGCGAAGGCGUCCGACCAGAACGAACCCGACGGUGAGGGGCGAAAGCUUGGGGAGCGAACGGGAUUAGAUACCCCGGUAGUCCAAGCCGUAAAGCAUGCGGGUCAGGUGUAGAGCGUCCCUUGAGGGCGCUCGGUGCCGUAGGGAAGCCGUUAAGCCCGCCGCCUGGGAAGUACGGUUGCAAGGCUG